Molecule: ribosomal RNA, 253 nt
Filed under: uncultured bacterium
Lineage: Bacteria
Description: partial 16S ribosomal RNA
Rfam family: Bacterial small subunit ribosomal RNA
Source: RNAcentral
UACAGGGGGUGCAAGCGUUGUUCGGAAUUACUGGGCGUAAAGGGCGCGUAGGCGGUUUAGCAAGUCAGACGUGAAAUCUCAGGGCUCAACUCUGAAAGUGCGUUUUAAACUGCUAGGCUAGAGUGCAUUAGAGAUUGGCGGAAUUCCCAGUGGAGAGGUGAAAUUCGUAGAUAUUGGGAGGAACACCGGUGGCGAAGGCGGCCAAUUGGGAUGCAACUGACGCUGAGGCGCGAGAGCAUGGGUAGCAAACAGG